UCGAAGGAGACGGUACGGUAUCCUCGGA
This 28-nucleotide small RNA is filed under the name Bombyx mori (domestic silkworm). RNAcentral describes it as "ovarian small RNA-28203". Lineage: Eukaryota; Metazoa; Arthropoda; Insecta; Lepidoptera; Bombycidae. The record is from RNAcentral.